GUUAUAGGGUCAAGCGAACAAGUGCAUGUGGUGGAUGCCUUGGCGAUCACAGGCGAUGAAGGACGCGGUAGCCUGCGAAAAGCUUCGGGGAGCUGGCAAACAAGCUUUGAUCCGGAGAUGUCCGAAUGGGGAAACCCGGCCCGAAUGGGUCAUCCCUGACUGAAUACAUAGGUCAGGGAAGCGAACGCGGCGAACUGAAACAUCUAAGUAGCUGCAGGAACAGAAAUCAACCGAGAUUCCCAAAGUAGUGGCGAACGAAAUGGGAAGAGCCUUGUACUCUUUAGCAGCAUUGUUAGCAGAACGGGAUGGAAAGCCCGGCCAUAGCAGGUGAUAGCCCUGUAUGCGAAAACAGCGUUGUGGAACUAGGUGUACGACAAGUAGGGCGGGACACGUGAAAUCCUGUCUGAAGAUGGGGGGACCAUCCUCCAAGGCUAAAUACUCGUGAUCGACCGAUAGUGAACCAGUACCGUGAGGGAAAGGCGAAAAGAACCCCGGGAGGGGAGUGAAAUAGAUCCUGAAACCGCAUGCAUACAAACAGUCGGAGCCUGGAAACGGGUGACGGCGUACCUUUUGUAUAAUGGGUCAGCGACUUACAUUCAGUGGCAAGCUUAACCGAUUAGGGAAGGCGUAGCGAAAGCGAGUCCGAAUAGGGCGUUCAGUCGCUGGGUGUAGACCCGAAACCAGACGAUCUAUCCAUGGCCAGGUUGAAGGUGCGGUAACACGUACUGGAGGACCGAACCCACUAACGUUGAAAAGUUAGGGGAUGAGCUGUGGAUAGGGGUGAAAGGCUAAACAAGUCUGGAAAUAGCUGGUUCUCUCCGAAAACUAUUUAGGUAGUGCCUCGUGUCUCACCUUCGGGGGUAGAGCACUGUCAUGGUUGGGGGGUCUAUUGCUGAUUACCCCGCCAUAGCAAACUCCGAAUACCGAAGAGUGCAAUCACGGGAGACAGACAUCGGGUGCUAACGUCCGGUGUCAAGAGGGAAACAACCCAGACCGCCAGCUAAGGUCCCUAAGAUUGGCUAAGUGGGAAACGAAGUGGGAAGGCUAAAACAGUCAGGAGGUUGGCUUAGAAGCAGCCAUCCUUUAAAGAAAGCGUAAUAGCUCACUGAUCGAGUCGUCCUGCGCGGAAGAUGUAACGGGGCUAAGCCAGUCACCGAAGCUGCGGAUGCGUGCAUUCCUUUAAGUGCACCUUGCUUGUCGAUGCGCAGCAUCGACAAAGCGCCCAACAGUGAUCGUUGGGAUGCAAGUGGAGUGGAUUUAAAGGAGUGCACNGGGCUAAGCCAGUCACCGAAGCUGCGGAUGCACGUAAGUGCAUGGUAGGAGAGCGUUCUGUAAGCCUGUGAAGGUGUCUUGUAAAGGAUGCUGGAGGUAUCAGAAGUGCGAAUGCUGACAUGAGUAGCGAUAAAGGGGGUGAAAAGCCCCCUCGCCGUAAGCCCAAGGUUUCCUACGCAACGUUCAUCGGCGUAGGGUGAGUCGGCCCCUAAGGCGAGGCAGAGAUGCGUAGCUGAUGGGAAGCAGGUUAAUAUUCCUGCACCGUCGUAUGAUGCGAUGGGGGGACGGAUCGCGGAAGGUUGUCCGGGUGUUGGAAGUCCCGGUCCCUGCAUUGGAGAAGGCGCUUAGGCAAAUCCGGGCGCGGAAUUCAAGGAUGNGUUGUCCGGGUGUUGGAAGUCCCGGUCCCUGUAUUGGAGAAGGCGCUUAGGCAAAUCCGGGCGCGGAAUUCAAGGAUAUGGGGCGAGCGGCCUAGUGCUGCGAAGCAAUUGGAAGUGGUUCCAAGAAAAGCCUCUAAGCUUCAGUCAUACGAGACCGUACCGCAAACCGACACAGGUGGGCGAGAUGAGUAUUCUAAGGCGCUUGAGAGAACUCGGGAGAAGGAACUCGGCAAAUUGGUACCGUAACUUCGGGAUAAGGUACGCCCUUGUAGCUUGACUGGCCUGCGCCAGGAGGGUGAAGGGGUUGCAAUAAAAUGGUGGCUGCGACUGUUUAAUAAAAACACAGCACUCUGCAAACACGAAAGUGGACGUAUAGGGUGUGACGCCUGCCCGGUGCCGGAAGAUUAAAUGAUGGGGUGCAAGCUCUUGAUUGAAGUCCCGGUAAACGGCGGCCGUAACUAUAACGGUCCUAAGGUAGCGAAAUUCCUUGUCGGGUAAGUUCCGACCUGCACGAAUGGCGUAACGAUGGCCACACUGUCUCCUCCCGAGACUCAGCGAAGUUGAAGUGUUUGUGAUGAUGCAAUCUCCCCGCGGCUAGACGGAAAGACCCCAUGAACCUUUACUGUAGCUUUGCAUUGGACUUUGAACCGAUCUGUGUAGGAUAGGUGGGAGGCUUUGAAGCGUGGACGCUAGUCUGCGUGGAGCCGUCCUUGAAAUACCACCCUGGUUUGUUUGAGGUUCUAACCUUGGCCCGUGAAUCCGGGUCGGGGACAGUGCAUGGUAGGCAGUUUGACUGGGGCGGUCUCCUCCCAAAGUGUAACGGAGGAGUUCGAAGGUACGCUUGGUACGGUCGGACAUCGUACCUAAAGUGCAAUGGCAAAAGCGUGCUUAACUGCGAGACCGACAAGUCGAGCAGGUGCGAAAGCAGGACAUAGUGAUCCGGUGGUUCUGAAUGGAAGGGCCAUCGCUCAACGGAUAAAAGGUACUCUGGGGAUAACAGGCUGAUACCGCCCAAGAGUUCAUAUCGACGGCGGUGUUUGGCACCUCGAUGUCGGCUCAUCUCAUCCUGGGGCUGUAGCCGGUCCCAAGGGUAUGGCUGUUCGCCAUUUAAAGAGGUACGUGAGCUGGGUUUAAAACGUCGUGAGACAGUUUGGUCCCUAUCUGCCGUGGGCGUUGGAAUCUUGACGGGGGCUGCUCCUAGUACGAGAGGACCGGAGUGGACGUACCGCUGGUGUACCUGUUGUCUCGCCAGAGGCAUCGCAGGGUAGCUAUGUACGGAAGAGAUAACCGCUGAAAGCAUCUAAGCGGGAAACUCGCCUGAAGAUGAGGAUUCCCUGGAGCCUUGAGCUCCUUGAAGGGUCGUUCGAGACCAGGACGUUGAUAGGCUGGGUGUGGAAGCGCAGUAAUGCGUUAAGCUAACCAGUACUAAUUGCCCGUAAGGCUUGAUCCUAUAACCAGUGUGUUUC
Molecule: ribosomal RNA, 3115 nt
Filed under: Cupriavidus sp. SK-3
Lineage: Bacteria; Pseudomonadati; Pseudomonadota; Betaproteobacteria; Burkholderiales; Burkholderiaceae
Description: bacterial LSU rRNA
Rfam family: Bacterial large subunit ribosomal RNA
Source: RNAcentral